RNAcentral lists this long non-coding RNA (467 nucleotides) under Setaria viridis. Its description in RNAcentral is "long non-coding RNA (SVIR_LNC003203)". Lineage: Eukaryota; Viridiplantae; Streptophyta; Magnoliopsida; Poales; Poaceae. The record is from RNAcentral.
ACCUGAAAGCUACCUUUUUAACUACCCUGUUACGGUGUAGUGUUUGAUAACCCCUAAGUAAGUCGAUUCACAUCUUGAGUACAUGCGACAAUCUCAGGUCUAAGGACAAAGCAUACAUGUUGUGCAAAGAAAGAACUACUUCUCAUGUUGGGUCAGUCCUAGCACAUGUCUCUACAUAUGCCUACAUUAUCAGUUUGACAUAUCCAUGUCCGUGACUUGUGAAACAUAGUCAUCAACUAAUACAUGUACUAGUCUAAUAUUUAUGUGUGUCCUCACAUGAACUCCGACUAGGGACAACUUUAGAAUAACCAUACAAGUAAAGAGUUUCACAAACAAUUCACAUAAUUGCAAAUCAAUUCAACUAGCCUUUAAUGGAUAUUCAAGGAACACAAUAUAAAUCAUGGAUACAAAUGGAAUAUCAUCAUCUCUAUGAUUACCUCUAGGGCAUACCUCCAACAAUCUCCCAC